Molecule: ribosomal RNA, 485 nt
Filed under: uncultured bacterium
Lineage: Bacteria
Description: partial 16S ribosomal RNA
Rfam family: Bacterial small subunit ribosomal RNA
Source: RNAcentral
AGUGAACGCUGGCGGCGUGCUUAACACAUGCAAGUCGAACGAGAACGGAAUAUAGCUUGCUAUAUUUGUCAGCUAAGUGGCGCACGGGUGAGUAAUGUAUAGAUAACCUGCCCUUAAGAAAGGAAUAACAGUUGGAAACGACUGCUAAUGCCCUAUAUGCCUUUAAUACAUAAGUAUGCAAGGGAAACGCUUUAGUGCUUAAGGAUGGGUCUGUAUGGUAUCAGCUUGUUGGUGAGGUAAUGGCUCACCAAGGCUAUGACGCCUAACUGGUUUGAGAGGAUGAUCAGUCACAAUGGAACUGAGACACGGUCCAGAGUCCUAAGGGAGGCAGCAGUGGGGAAUAUUGCACAAUGGACGAAAGUCUGAUGCAGCAACGCCGCGUGGAGGAUGACACAUUUCGGUGCGUAAACUCCUUUUAUAUAGGAAGAUAAUGACGGUACUAUAUGAAUAAGCACCGGCUAACUCCGUGCCAGCCGCCGCAGUAA